UCAUUUCUGACUCCUGGUUACCCCGUUUGGGGUUUUCUUGGCAAGAUACUGGAAUUUUUUGCCAUUUUCUUCUCCAGCUCAUUUUAUAUAUGAGGGAACAGGCAAACAGGGUUAAGUGACUUGGGAGGGUCACACAGCUAGUAAAUGUCUAAUUUACUGAUUUAACUUAACUUAAGAACUGAAUUUAAGAUUAGUCUUCCUAACUCCUAACCCAACACUCUUAUCUACAGUGUCACUUACAACAAAUGUUGAAGAUGAAAGACAGCCAGUAAGAACUACUUUUACUCACCUUUAUUAUCAAGAAGAAGGGUUGUGAGAGACAAAUGAGAAAAUGUCUGUAAAGUAUGUGUGACUGUAACUCAACAUUUGGAGCUCUAUCAACAGGCCUGGACAUCAAAUAUGGAGCUCUCCACUUCUUCUUUCCCAGCAUUUCUUCCAGGAGAGUUUCAGACAUUGACUUGGAAGUAGAUUACCCAGAGUGCCAAUGACCCUGAACUUGGUUUUGCACAGCCCCUCUGGAAUCAACCAAUCAAUAAAUAUUUAUUAAGUGG
Molecule: long non-coding RNA, 551 nt
Organism: Sarcophilus harrisii (Tasmanian devil)
Lineage: Eukaryota; Metazoa; Chordata; Mammalia; Dasyuromorphia; Dasyuridae
Exons: 2
Source: RefSeq, a predicted model, not a curated record